CUUCCCAGGGUUUCUCCUCCAGCAUCUUCCACAUUCACCUUGCCCCACAGGCUUGUGAUAGUAGCCUUGUCCUCCUCUGUGAAAUGACCCAUGGCGUCUGGACUAGGAGCUUAUUGAUAACCUCAGACGUUCCAGAAGCGAGUGUGUGGAACUGCUGAAGGGAGCUUAUUGAUAACCUCAGACGUUCCAGAAGCGAGUGUGUGGAACUGCUGAAGGGUGCUUCCUUUUAUUCUUCAUCCCUAGCCAGCCGCCGGCCCC
RNAcentral lists this long non-coding RNA (258 nucleotides) under Homo sapiens (human). Its description in RNAcentral is "PREDICTED lncRNA (TCONS_00035475)". The record is from RNAcentral. Lineage: Eukaryota; Metazoa; Chordata; Mammalia; Primates; Hominidae.